Molecule: long non-coding RNA, 1545 nt
Filed under: Oreochromis niloticus (Nile tilapia)
Lineage: Eukaryota; Metazoa; Chordata; Actinopteri; Cichliformes; Cichlidae
Description: lncRNA (ENSONIG00000029157.1)
Source: RNAcentral
AUGGCUACGACUGACAACGCAGUUGCAAAACUUUGUCCUUGCGGCAAGAAGAUUUCUGCCUGGGAUACACACCUAGUGUGUGCGGCAUGCCUGGGUUUAUCUCACGCUCAGGCUGCCUUGACACCCGCACACGACUGUAUCCACUGCGCGGCUUUCUCACGCAAGCUACUCCGCCGCAGGCUAGCUCGCCAGGCUAACCUGUCGGGUGGCGACCCUUUGCUGUGUGAGGCUGCUGCGGUGCAAGGAGAAAUUGAGAUGCCCGAUGAUUUGGCCGCAACGCCAGGGCCGAGCUGGGCAGAGGUAGACCCUCAGCCCAUCGCGACCGCUUUCCCGUCGCUGGAGGCACACGGAGAUUGUGAGUUUUUCCCCCAUGCUGGAGUCACCCGGGGAGGAGAUGCUAACGAGGACGGAGAUGAGUCGGCUGACUCGGACCUCCUGCUGUCUGACGAGGAGGAGGAAAAUUCCACCUCCUUGGCUAGCAUCAGCUGGGCUGCAAAGCACUCGGCUACCGGCGAGGUUGAAAAACCGACACCGCCGUCUCCCCUGGAUCUCAACAUGCAGGACAUGUGCAAGCGCGCAGCUGCUAGGCUCAACAUCCCGUGGCCCGCCAUACAAACAGAGGUUGUAAAAUCUCGUUUUGAAGGUAAGAAAUUGCCGAAGGCGAAAAAGACAGGGAAGCAUGUGUUGCCUGUUUUCCCGGAGCUACUCGAUGAGAUAGCAGUGACGUGGAAAGCAAAACCUUACAGCGAGAAACACCCCAUCGCGGGGAGCUCUCUGCUGGAUUGUGAGGGGAUGGAGUCUAUCGGCCUCCGCCAGAUGCCACAAGUGGAGCCAUUGAUAGCGAGCCAUCUUCACCCGAAGACGUCUCUGUCCUCAUCGGCUCCAUCUCUCCCCUCCAAGACAGACCGCUUCCAGUCUAGCCUUACAGAUAAGUGCUACAAGGCAGCGGCUCUGUCGGUAAGAGCCCACAACGCCUCCUCUAUGCUAAUGGCUUACCAAGCUGAGCUAGAAGAGGACAUGACAGCUAAACCAGAUACCACAGUGUGGGAAGAAAUCUGCGUUAUAACUGACCACGUCCUCCGCCUCCACAAGGUAGCCGUACAGGCUACUGGGAGAGCCAUGGGCCUCAUGGUUCUUCAGGAGCGAGCACACUGGCUCGGGCUCACCAACCUGACGACUAAGGAAAAAGAGGAACUCCUCGACUCCCCUGUCGUCCCUCAAGGUCUCUUCGGUGCGGCUGUUACAUCCAUGCAGAAGAGAUGUGAGGAGAAAAAGAGAGAUGAUGAGGCUCUGAAACUCUGCCUGCCGAGGAGGGCCCAGCACGCCACUCCAGCGGCACUGCGCCAGUCAUUCGCGCAGGCAGCGUCUCACCCGGUCCCCGCUUUCAGGAUCCCCAAAGUGCCUAAGACGCAGGCAGCCUCCCAGGCUGCUGGGGCUCCUAAGAAUCCAUGGACUCGGGAACAGUCUCCCCAGGCCAGACCUCAAGCGGCCCCUCCUCCUCCCCCCGCUGCCGCGACCGUGAGGAGGAAGAAGCGGCCGGCCUGA